UUGUCUCUUGGAGUUCCUCUGAACGCUUCACAGGUGGGGCUAGUUAACUAGAUAUAUAGAAUAUUAAUAGUCCUGAUCACACAAGUGAAGUGUUUGGGGGAACUUUUAGGCACAA
Molecule: non-coding RNA, 115 nt
Organism: Cajanus cajan (pigeon pea)
Lineage: Eukaryota; Viridiplantae; Streptophyta; Magnoliopsida; Fabales; Fabaceae
Source: Rfam